UCCUACGGGGGGCAGCAGUGGGGGAUAUUGCACAAUGGGGGGAACCCUGAUGCAGCGACGCCGCGUGGGUGAAGGAGCGUUUCGGCGCGUAAAGCCCUAUCGGCAGGGAAGAAGAUGACGGUACCUGACCAAGAAGCCCCGGCUAACUACGUGCCAGCAGCCGCGGUAAUACGUAGGGGGCGAGCGUUAUCCGGAAUUACUGGGUGUAAAGGGGGCGUAGACGGCGAGGUAAGCCUGAAGUGGAAGCCCGCGGCCCAACCGCGGAACUGCUUUGGGAACUGUUUUGCUGGAGUAUGGGAGGGGGA
Molecule: ribosomal RNA, 305 nt
Filed under: uncultured bacterium
Lineage: Bacteria
Description: partial 16S ribosomal RNA
Rfam family: Bacterial small subunit ribosomal RNA
Source: RNAcentral